RNAcentral lists this RNase P RNA (429 nucleotides) under Alphaproteobacteria bacterium. RNAcentral describes it as "RNase P RNA component class A". It matches the Rfam family "Bacterial RNase P class A". From Rfam's summary of the family: Ribonuclease P (RNase P) is a ubiquitous endoribonuclease, found in archaea, bacteria and eukarya as well as chloroplasts and mitochondria. Its best characterised activity is the generation of mature 5'-ends of tRNAs by cleaving the 5'-leader elements of precursor-tRNAs. The record is from RNAcentral. Lineage: Bacteria; Pseudomonadati; Pseudomonadota; Alphaproteobacteria.
UCAGUCGGCCGGACGGCCGCUUGGUGCCAAUGCCGAAAGGCGGCCCUGAGAGGAAAGUCCGGGCUCCAUGGACAUGCGGUGCCGGAUAACGUCCGGCGGAAGUAAUUCCAGGGAAAGUGCCACAGAAAGCAAACCGCCCGAUCCCGCGAGGGUGACGGCAAGGGUGAAACGGUGCGGUAAGAGCGCACCGCGCUUCCGGCAACGGAAGCGGCACGGCAAACCCCACCGGGAGCAAGACCGAAUAGGGGCGGCGCGGGAGCAAUCCCGGGAUCUGUGUCCGGAUCCUGCCGUCCGGGUAGGUUGCUGGAGGCGCCGGGCAACCGGCGUCCCAGAGGAAUGGCCGUCGCGCGCAGCGAGCAAAAGCGCGUUCACGCGCGUCUCGCGCAAUACUGCGCCCUACAGAACCCGGCUUACAGGCCGGCUGAUAUG